Silurus meridionalis is the source of this 3978-nucleotide RNA transcript. It is a transcript of the gene named B-cell receptor CD22-like, with no coding region annotated. The transcript is spliced from 8 exons. Lineage: Eukaryota; Metazoa; Chordata; Actinopteri; Siluriformes; Siluridae. The record is from RefSeq and is a predicted model, not a curated record.
ACAUGCCAAAUCCAAUGUGCGGAUCAUGAAUACAGAUGAUCCGCUGUGGCGACCCCUAAUUGGAGAAGCCGAAAGAAAGUUUAUUCACUCAUCAGACUAAUAUCUACAUUUACUGAACAUAUUAAAGUGAGUGUUGUUCAUGUGUAAAUGAGAGCUCUGGAAUGAGAAAGUGAGCGACUCUAUCCUUCUGUCUUUGUAGCUGUGUGCCAUUGGGGUCAUUUGGUGUUUCUGUGGUGAUGUACAGUAGAGUGGGUUUUCUUUUCUUUUACUGUUUUAAAGGGAUUUUCUGCUUUGUAAUUUUAUUGUGUUUGUUUACCAGUGACUCAUGUUUCUUCUGUUCUAAAACCUUGUUAGAUUUUAUUCAUUUAUUUAUUUAUUUAUUUAUUUAUUUAUUUAUUUAUUUAUUUAUUUAUUUAUUUAUAUAUUCCAUGUGUUUAAAGCUUAGACAGAACAUUUUAUUAAAUAUUACAGUAUAACAGUUUUAACCACCAUGCUGCUUUCUUGGCUCUUUUGCUGUCAUGAGGUGAACAAGUUCCAGCGCAAAUUCAGCACUUUACCUGUGUUUAUUUGUGUGCAAUAUAUCUAGUACACACUGCUUCUAUGUAGAAUUGGCAAAAGAAACCUAGAGGAUAUUAUGCUGAAGAAGCUAUGAGCAGUAAGCCUUCAGUUCUCAGCAUUGCAUGAUGCUAGUGACCAGUGUAGUGGAUAUCAAAAAUGGCAUGUUGGCAUUGAGGGGCAGUUGCCAGUACCUUUUGCACAGGGCCAGGAUGGUAAUGAAUCAGGCCUGAUAUGAUCCACUUCAGCAAGUCAUCAAUUGAUUCCCCUUGUUAACUUCGCACCAGAUGGUAGAUCUUAUAACAAACCUUUUCAAUGUGUUCUUCAUUGUUUGUUAAAACACUCCACCAGGCUGUCAGCCUUCAGAUGGUAUGGGCUGGUUGUGAUGCUUAGCUGGUACCUGUCCCUAGUGAAACAAACAGAUAAACAUUAGUGAAACAAACCGAAAAAGCUUGGGCUGAUUUUUUGUGUGCUCAGCCCUGCUGGUACACAAUGCUGGUGUCUAAAAUGUUGCACAUGUGUAGAAUUAUUUUUGUUCCACAUCAUAUAAUGAAGGCCACUGAUAUGAAAAUUAAAAUAGUGACUGCUAUGAGACUUCUCUUCUUUAUACUUUCCUAAUAUGCUCUAAAAUCCUAUAGUGAGAUCACACAGUAAGAAAACCUGGACUAUGAAACAGGGAACACAAAUGGCUUUAAGAAUCGACAUUAAACUAAAUGUCACUUUGUGGAAUGGAAAUGAAUGAUUAUUUAACAAAACUUAUAGAAACGUAAAUAAAAUAAACCUGUGAGGAAUACAAACAUGUGAGGAAAAUGACAAAUGACAAGACAAGAUGGAAGACAUAAAAUGAAUCAAUACAAGGACACACAUUGCUAAACAAAUACGAAAAAAAAAAAAUGAAUUAAAUAAAACGUAUACUAACUUACUACACACGUGAUUGCUACAGCCUGAAAAAGGGUCACCUUUUAACUUUUUCAUUUGAAAUAAUUAAAGAAUUUUUAGCAGAAUAUUCUAACCAUAAAUAUUGUAUAUUGCAUUUUAUUUAUUUACUCAUUUUUAUAGUAAUAAGUCAGCAGUUUAUUGGUUAUUGGUUUAUUGCAGUAAAUUCAUUAAAGUGUGGAGGGUCUCUUAAAUGUUUUAUUAUUUAUGUAAUAGGUAAAAGGUACUCACCUUAAAGAAGGACACAAAUAAAACAGGAAAAAUGAACUUUAUUAUAAUAAACACACAGAUGUACAUACACACCAAACAAAACAGUUCCUCUUUUUUAAAUAUAAAUGUUACAGAAGGCAUGAACACAUUAUAAUAUCAAUAUUUGAAAUAAAUCUUAAUCACAGUUGGAAUAUUGUGCACUGUGUGUGUGUGUGUGUGUGUGUGUGUGUGUGUGUGUGUGUGUGUGUGUGUGUGUGUGUUUGAUGGUUUGACUGUGUGUUUGCUCACUUUCCUCACCCACAACAAUUAUUCUUAAAAAAGAGGAAACUUUAUUGUGUGCAGGGCAAAAUCAGUGAAAGGUCUUUACCACACACUUCCUCAAAUCUCAUGCAUUCCUUCAUUCUCUGUUAACCUGCAUCAUUACGGAUGCAGCAUGAUAUGAAAAUGUCCAUGAUGAAGGGAUGAGAGACCCUGAUGAUGUCCUUUACUGUUUUUAUUAUCUGCUUCUUUUGAGUCUUAAGAUCUGAGAUGGCACAAUUCAGGAUGCUCUGCAGAAUGUCGUUAGGUGGUGAGAGCUGAGCCAUGCUCAGGUUUCGUAGAAAAUAGAGAUGCUUUAAUGGAUGUGGUGUUGAGAGACAAUUUGAGUUUCUCUGUCAGGUGGACAUCAAGGAAUAUGGUGUUAUUAAUCUCCACAGAGGAGCUGUGGAUGUGCAAAGGUGAGUGGAUGCUCCAUGUUUAUCUUUGUUUAGAUCACAUUUUUACACCAUAAAUGAGGUGUUCAGGCCCAAUAUGCUCAGCCUCCUAAUCAGGUGCUGAGGUACUAUUGGUGUUCAAUGCUAAGAUGAAUGUUAAACACUAUUUAAUUGUAAAGGUUCUUAUUGUCCAGGUAGGUGAGAGCCAGAUGAAGUGUGGUGGACACAAGAUGUUUUGUGUCUUUUUGUAAUUUAUUUUCUAUUUAUUUGAUUUUAUAUAGAUUAAGCAAUGCUCUCCUUUAAAAUGGCAUCCCCACUUUGUCUGAUCUUUCUCCUAAUGAUCUCUGGAGCUCUUGGGAAUCAGUGGAGUGUGACAUACAGCCAGGAAAAUCUUUGUGCUGUAAAAGGAUCUACAGUGGUUAUGAAUGCCACUUACACACAUCCAACAAUUGUUACUGUGACAAACAGGUUCUGGGUAAUAGACACAGAUUCAGGGACAGAGCUGACUGAUCUGCAUAAGGAACCAGGUUACUCAGGCAGAGUGGAGUAUUUAGGAGAUGAACCAAAUCACAUUUCACUAAGUGAUGUGAAUAAAUCAGAUGAACACGUGUACUGCUUCAGAAUCGUAGGAGACAAAGGAGGAUACACAGGGCAUCCAGGAGUUGUACUCAAUGUUACAGAUCUUCAGGUGAUCAUUCCUGCAGAAGUAACAGAGGGAGAAUCAGUGGUUCUGACCUGUAAAACCACCUGCAGUCUGACUGACCCAACAUUCAUCUGGUACAAAAACAGACAUGAUUUAACCACAAACAGCACAGAGAGCAACAAACUCCACCUGCAGAGGGUCAGCAGUGAGGAUGCAGGCAGUUAUAACUGUGCUGUAAGAGGAUCUGAACAUCUCCCAUCUCCUGCUGAAUACCUCAGUGUCAGAUAUUCUCCAAAAAAACUUUCAGUGUCCAUUAGUCCCUCUGGUGAGAUUGUGGAGGGAAGUUCAGCGACUCUGACCUGCAGCAGUGAUGCAAACCCACCUGCGACCUGCGAAUGGUAUAAAGAAACAAAACUAGUAAGAAAAGUACCCACAUACACCAUUGCAAAUGUCAGCUCUGAGGACAGUGGCGAGUACAAGUGCAAGUGCCGUAAUAAAGUCGGACAUCAGUACUCCAGCCGUCUAACUCUGAAUGUUCUGUCUCCAUCACACGGAGUCUCAAUGUCCAUCAGCAUCUCUUCCAACAUACUAGAGGGCAGUUCAGUGACUCUGACCUGCGGCAGUGAUGCAAACCCACCUGUGGAGACCUAUAAAUGGUUUAAGGAGAAACAAUCAUCACCUGUAGGAUCAGGACAGAGUUACAGAGCUCUACAGAAUGUGCAGUACUACUGCAAGGUUCUGAAUAAACUGGGCUCUGUGAGAUCCGCUACAGUGUCCAUCACUAUAAAUGGUGAGAUGGCUUUGUAAUUGUGUAUGUGGCUGUUGGACUUGGACUUUUUGGGCUUGGAGCUCUUCUCUCUACCCUCCUCUGGCUCAGAUGGAACAGACAGAAGAAAAAGGCAGAUGAAGGUGAUCAUCAGAACAUUGGGCUGAGUGCUAAAG